CACGUAGGGGGCGAGCGUUGUCCGGAUUUAUUGGGCGUAAAGAGCUCGUAGGCGGCUCAGUAAGUCGGGUGUGAAAACUCCAGGCUCAACCUGGAGACGCCACCUGAUACUGCUGUGGCUAGAGUCCGGUAGGGGAGCAUGGAAUUCCUGGUGUAGCGGUGAAAUGCGCAGAUAUCAGGAGGAACACCGGUGGCGAAGGCGGCAUCCUGGACCGACAUUGACGCUGAGGAGCGAAAGCUAGGGGAGCAAACGGG
This 254-nucleotide ribosomal RNA is filed under the name uncultured bacterium. RNAcentral describes it as "partial 16S ribosomal RNA". It matches the Rfam family "Bacterial small subunit ribosomal RNA", at positions 524 to 776 of the family's 1533-position model. The record is from RNAcentral.